GUACACGCUGUGACUAGCAUAUCAAUAAGCGGAGGAAAAGAAACUAACAAGGAUUCCCCUAGUAACGGCGAGUGAGGCGGGAAGAGCUCAAAUUUGAAAUCUUAAAGGGUUUCCCUUUACGAAUUGUAGUUUAAAGAAGUGUUUUCUGUUGAGGUUUCGGUAAAAGUUCUUUGGAAUAGGACAUCAUAGAGGGUGAGAAUCCCGUAUUUGACCUUUACUUUCAACUUUGUGAUACACUUUCAAAGAGUCGGAUUGUUUGGGAAUGCAGUCCAAAAUGGGUGGUAAAUUUCAUCUAAAGCUAAAUAUUGGCGAGAGACCGAUAGCGAACAAGUACCGUGAGGGAAAGAUGAAAAGAACUUUGAAAAGAGAGUUAAACAGUACGUGAAAUUGUCAAAAGGGAAGCGUUUGACACCAGUGUUGUUUUUCUGAAAAUCAAUUAAAGAACUGUUUAUGCUAAGCUGUUUAGACUUUAUCAGCUAUCUGUUUAGUUUUGAGCUUUUCUUUAAUGCACUUUUCAGUUAACAAGUCAACAUCAAUUUCUUUUGCUGUAAAAAAGCUUGAGGAAGGUGGCUUGAGAUUCGUCUUAAGUGUUUAUAGCCUCUUGCCUAUGCAGUCGGAGAGAUUGAGGUCUGCAGCGUAGAUCCUUCGGGACUAAAUGCAUUUGUGCUAAGUUAUAGCAUUUUAUAGACAACUUGUUGACUAUGAUUUGUCUUGUAGCUUACUCGCUUAUGUUAUUUUACCUACGCUUAGGAUGUUGAAGAUGUAGCACAUCAU
RNAcentral lists this ribosomal RNA (774 nucleotides) under uncultured Neocallimastigales. Its description in RNAcentral is "partial large subunit ribosomal RNA". It matches the Rfam family "Eukaryotic large subunit ribosomal RNA", at positions 22 to 635 of the family's 3401-position model. The record is from RNAcentral. Lineage: Eukaryota; Fungi; Neocallimastigomycota; Neocallimastigomycetes; Neocallimastigales.